CUAAAAUUAAUUUUCAGCAAUUUUUAUUUAAUAUGAGAUAAUAGACAAGUUUUUGAUAUAAUAAAAAUGAGCGAAUAUAGGCCUUAACAUAAUUUAUCGAAAUAGCUUUAGAUAAGCAUAAGUAAAUAAAAGCGACCUGCUAGAACCAAGGGAUUCGAGGGGUUCCUAAUACCUUCCUCUCGGUCAACAAAAUUCCUUACCCGGUCUUCUGUUUUCGCAGACCAUGAUAAAGAGUCAUUU
RNAcentral lists this long non-coding RNA (240 nucleotides) under Capsicum annuum. Its description in RNAcentral is "long non-coding RNA (CANN_LNC013636)". The record is from RNAcentral. Lineage: Eukaryota; Viridiplantae; Streptophyta; Magnoliopsida; Solanales; Solanaceae.